RNAcentral lists this ribosomal RNA (1003 nucleotides) under Essexiella fimbriata. Its description in RNAcentral is "partial 28S ribosomal RNA". It matches the Rfam family "Eukaryotic large subunit ribosomal RNA", at positions 71 to 632 of the family's 3401-position model. Lineage: Eukaryota; Metazoa; Platyhelminthes; Cestoda; Proteocephalidea; Proteocephalidae. The record is from RNAcentral.
AGGAUUCCCCUAGUAACGGCGAGUGAAGAGGGAAGAGCCCAGCACCGAAGCCUGCGGCAGUUUUGCUGUUAGGCAAUGUGGUGUUUGGGUCGGCUCGUGGGACCGCCACUCCACUCGAAGUCCAGCAUUGAGUAUGGUUUCUGGAUUUGGCCCAGAGAGGGUGAAAGGCCCGUACGGGUGGAGUAUCAGACAUGUGAGGUGGUUCACCAGGCCGGCCUUAGAGUCGGGUUGUUUGGGAAUGCAGCCCAAAGCGGGUGGUAAACUCCAUCCAAGGCUAAAUACUAACACGAGUCCGAUAGCGAACAAGUACCGUGAGGGAAAGUUGAAAAGUACUCUGAAGAGAGAGUAAACAGUACGUGAAACCGCAUGCAGGUAAACGGGUGGCGUCAAGCUGCAGGCCCAGAGAAUUCAGUCGGCUAGGAUGUUGUGUAUGCGCCUGGCGCAUCUAUCAGUCGGAGUAUGAUUGGGUAGUCCACCAGUAAACGGUGGGCCCGGCCGCAAGGUCGGGAUACGUGUACCGGACGGGUGCCGGAGCGUGCUAUCCAUCUGUGGACUGUCUAGCCGGUGCACUUUCUCUGUGGUCAACACCACGACCGGUGGUAUUGCCAGUCUGCUGUGUCCAAGUUGCAUCUGGUGGGUCCUCGUGGCUUACUGGGUGUGAUCACAGGCAAAGUCAGUAAACGGCGUAGAGGUGUUUCGGCACUUUUGCGUGUUAUCGGAUGCUGUUUGUGAACGGGCCUGCUCGGUGUUUGUUGUAACCGACUCUGGGUGGUCCGGUGGGACAUGGUGGUAAGAAUAACUGUGCAAGGCACCGGGGUUAUCGGCCUCAAAUGCGCCCUGCACCCACGUUGCAAGUGGUAUGUAAUAUCGGCGGUGUCGUUGCUGCCUGCCCGGUGUUGGGUGUGAUUGGCGUGUUGCCUGCUCAAAGUGGUAGGUCCGCCAGUGGCUCGACUCGGGAUGGGUAGUUGGCGGUGCUUUCGGUGUGGGGCGUUGUGGGCCAAAA